AUAUACGACCGUACCGCAAACCGACACUGGUGCGCGAGAUGAGUAUUCUAAGGCGCUUGAGAGAACUCAGGAGAAGGAACUCGGCAGAUUGACACCGUAACUUCGGAAGAAGGUGUGCCCUAUUAGUGUGUAGUGAACAACGAAGCAUGAAUGGGUUGCAAAAAAUCGGUGGCUGCGACUGUUUAUUAAAAACACAGCACUCUGCAAACACGAAAGUGGACGUAUAGGGUGUGACGCCUGCCCGGUGCUGGAAGAUUAAAUGAUGGGGUGCAAGCUCUUGAUUGAAGUCCCAGUAAACGGCGGCCGUAACAAUAACGGUCCUAAGGUAGCGAAAUUCCUUGUCGGGUAAGUUCCGACCUGCACGAAUGGCGUAACGAUGGCCACACUGUCUCCUCCUGAGACUCAGCGAAGUUGAAAUGUUUGUGAUGAUGCAAUCUCCCCGCGGAAAGACGGAAAGACCCCAUGAACCUUUACUGUAGCUUUGUAUUGGACUUUGAACAGAUCUGUGUAGGAUAGGUGGGAGGCUUUGAAGCAGGGUCGCUAGAUCUUGUGGAGCCAACGUUGAAAUACCACCCUGGUGUGUUUGAGGUUCUAACCUAGGUCCAUUAUCUGGAUCGGGGACAGUGCAUGGUAGGCAGUUUGACUGGGGCGGUCUCCUCCCAAAGCGUAACGGAGGAGUUCGAAGGUACGCUAGUUACGGUCGGACAUCGUGACGAUAGUGCAAUGGCAUAAGCGUGCUUAACUGCGAGACUGACAAGUCGAGCAGAUGCGAAAGCAGGACAUAGUGAUCCGGUGGUUCUGUAUGGAAGGGCCAUCGCUCAACGGAUAAAAGGUACUCUGGGGAUAACAGGCUGAUACCGCCCAAGAGUUCAUAUCGACGGCGGUGUUUGGCACCUCGAUGUCGGCUCAUCUCAUCCUGGGGCUGUAGCCGGUCCCAAGGGUAUGGCUGUUCGCCAUUUAAAGAGGUACGUGAGCUGGGUUUAAAACGUCGUGAGACAGUUUGGUCCCUAUCUUCCGUGGGCGCUGCAGAUUUGAGGAAGCCUGCUCCUAGUACGAGAGGACCGGAGUGGACACACCUCUGGUGUAUCGGUUGUCACGCCAGUGGCAUUGCCGAGUAGCUAAGUGUGGAAGAGAUAACCGCUGAAAGCAUCUAAGCGGGAAACUCGUUUCAAGAUGAGAUCUGCCGGGGCCUUGAGCCCCCUAAAGAGUCGUUCAAGACCUGGACGUUGAUAGGUCAGGUGUGGAAGCG
This 1249-nucleotide ribosomal RNA is filed under the name metagenome. RNAcentral's name for it is "bacterial LSU rRNA". It matches the Rfam family "Bacterial large subunit ribosomal RNA", at positions 1634 to 2875 of the family's 2925-position model. The record is from RNAcentral.